CUGAUCCAGCCAUGCCGCGUGUGUGAAGAAGGCCUUCGGGUUGUAAAGCACUUUCAGUAGGGAGGAAGGCUUCGGGUUAAUACCCUGGAGUACUUGACGUUACCUACAGAAGAAGCACCGGCUAAUUUCGUGCCAGCAGCCGCGGUAAUACGAAAGGUGCGAGCGUUAAUCGGAAUUACUGGGCGUAAAGCGCGCGUAGGCGGUGUGUUAAGUCGGAUGUGAAAGCCCAGGGCUCAACCUUGGAAUUGCAUCCGAUACUGGCACGCUAGAGUGCAGUAGAGGGAGGUGGAAUUUCCGGGGUAAAAAUGAUAUGUGCCAAGGCGAACACGAACCCCCAUGGCGAAGGCCCCUCUCCUGGACUGACCCUGACACUCAGGAGCGAAAGCGUGGGGGAGCGAACAGGAUUCCAUACCCUGGUAGCCCACGCCGAAAAUAACUCUCCUUGGACGUUGGGGGCCUUGUG
This 463-nucleotide ribosomal RNA is filed under the name uncultured Alcanivorax sp. RNAcentral describes it as "bacterial SSU rRNA". It matches the Rfam family "Bacterial small subunit ribosomal RNA", at positions 383 to 836 of the family's 1533-position model. Lineage: Bacteria; Pseudomonadati; Pseudomonadota; Gammaproteobacteria; Oceanospirillales; Alcanivoracaceae. The record is from RNAcentral.